RNAcentral lists this non-coding RNA (185 nucleotides) under Romboutsia maritimum. RNAcentral's name for it is "6S / SsrS RNA". It matches the Rfam family "6S / SsrS RNA". Rfam says of the family: E. coli 6S RNA was the first non coding RNA to be sequenced, but its function was unknown until recently. It consists of 184 nucleotides that fold into an extended hairpin structure with a large single-stranded internal bulge. Lineage: Bacteria; Bacillati; Bacillota; Clostridia; Peptostreptococcales; Peptostreptococcaceae. The record is from Rfam by way of RNAcentral.
GAAAUCCUGAAGCAUACGACACGGCUUAUUUAAAUUCAACCGACAAAUGUUGUAAGGGAGACUGGAGUCUAGUAAUAGAUAAUAAGCCUGUUUUUUAAAUAGGAAAUUAAAAAUUGCUAGCAGGUCACCCACCUGGGAGUAUCUCGGGUAUGAAUUUAUUGGGCCACCGGUGUUUUGGGAUUCAA